This is a long non-coding RNA of Oncorhynchus nerka (sockeye salmon), 1053 nucleotides long. RefSeq lists it as uncharacterized. The record is from RefSeq and is a predicted model, not a curated record. The transcript is spliced from 2 exons. NCBI's taxonomy places the organism in Eukaryota, Metazoa, Chordata, Actinopteri, Salmoniformes, Salmonidae.
AUUCAUUUGAAAACCGUUGAACUGUAUAGUAGUCUUCUAGCUAACAGUUUUAAAGUAGAUGCUCUUGUAUCUGGUCAGCUUUGCAAAUGCAUCUGUGCAAUUAUAGACCGAGCCCUUCUCUGUUACCCCUCCUCCUGGGUGACGCAAAUACAUCCGGACGUUUGGAUUGGACCAUACCGCACACGUUAAAACUACGCAAUUCUGGACAGGAGGAAUGCACGGUUGUCUGAUAGAAAUAUGUUCCAUGUCUGUUUGAGUUCAUUUAUUCUCACCCAAACCCUGACACACCCCUUCAGAAUGGUCGGCACGUCAGAAUGUUCAAAUAAAUAUUUGGAAACCAAGGGGUGUAGCCUAGGCUAAUGCCUAUAGGCUAUGGAAUGUGUCAAAUGAGUAGUCUGCUGUUGAUCAUUCACAAAAGGAUCGGUACAUCCGAACAUCACACCUACGGAACAAGUACAGGAUGGCAACAACAACUGCCCGAGUUACACCAGGAACGCACAAUCCAUCCAUCAGUGCUCAGACUAUCCGCAAUAGGCUGAGAGAGGCUGGACUGAGGGCUUGUAGGCCUGUUGUAAGGCAGGUCCUCACCAGACAUCACCAGCAACAACGUCGCUUAUGGGCACAAACCCACCGUCGCUGGACCAGACAGGACUGGCAAAAAGUGCUCUUCACUGAAGAGUCACAGUUUUGUCUCACCAGGAGUGAUGGUCAGAUUCGCAUUUAUCGUCAAGGAAAUGAGCAUUACACUGGGACCUGUUGGCAUGUGCCUUGUUGGAUGAGAAAGGGUAAAAUGUCACAGCAAGAACUGGCAAAUCUGGUGCUGUCCAUAAGGAAGAGAUGCACUGCAGUACUUAAUGCAGCUGGUGACCACACCAGAUACUGACUGUUACUUUUGAUUUUGACCCCCCCUUUGUUCAGGGACACAUUAUUCAAUUUCUGUUAGUCACAUGACUGUGGAACUUGUUCAGUUUAUGUCUCUUGGUGAAUCUUGUUAUGUUCAUGCAAAUAUUUACACAUGUUAAGUUUGUUGAAAAUAAACGCAGUUGACAGUGA